This 253-nucleotide ribosomal RNA is filed under the name uncultured bacterium. Its description in RNAcentral is "partial 16S ribosomal RNA". It matches the Rfam family "Bacterial small subunit ribosomal RNA", at positions 524 to 776 of the family's 1533-position model. The record is from RNAcentral.
UACGGAGGGAGCUGGCGUUGUUCGGAAUUACUGGGCGUAAAGCGCGCGUAGGCGGCUUUGUAAGUUAGAGGUGAAAGCCCGGAGCUCAACUCCGGAACUGCCUUUAAAACUGCAUCGCUUGAAUCCAGGAGAGGUGAGUGGAAUUCCGAGUGUAGAGGUGAAAUUCGUAGAUAUUCGGAAGAACACCAGUGGCGAAGGCGGCUCACUGGACUGGUAUUGACGCUGAGGUGCGAAAGCGUGGGGAGCAAACAGG